AUGGCGUGCCUGGGCCGCCAGGGUUUCCAGGCCCGAGAGGACCAAAAGGUGACACUGGUGUGCCUGGAUUUCCAGGACUCAAAGGGGAACAGGACUGCCUUUCCUCACCAGCGGAGUGGUAAGAUCCUAAUAUCAGGUGUGGGCUUAGGGGGACAGAGAGAAGAGGCUGCUCUGCUUGCUUUGGCUGCUUCUGGCCCCACUGAAGGGAGACUUGAACAUGGUCCCGCUCAGCUCCCCAGGAGCCAGCAUGGAAAUCUGGGGCCAAAACCUCAGAGUGAUAUAGAACGUUCCUCUAUCUGGCCUUUUCUUGGUACACGUAUCUUCUUGGAAGCCUUUGGUUUAGUCGAUGGCUCUGCUGAGGACAAGAUCCUGUGUCCCUGUGACCCAUCGGCCCAUCUCCCCUGUUUCCCAACAACUGAGAAGCUUUGCCUGGUCCAGUUUGCACAGGAGCCUGGAGUUUGGAGGCAAAGUUCCAGAUGGAGACACAGGGGCCUUUGCUGAGAGAGGCCUCUAGUGUUUAUACCUUCAUCUCUCUCCCAAUUUCAGACUUUUAACAAGAAUAAAGAUUCUUGGUAGGAACAGAUCUCAAGUUGAGUUGUUAGGAAAGCAAGCCAUGAAAUACAUUAGGAACCAGAGGUUCCCGGGGGAUGCUGUGCAGCAAGAGGUGGGAAGGACCUUGUGGGGCUGAUUCCUAGAGAGUGAGGAUGCCGAUCUGUCAGCAGUGGGAGCCCUGGAGCGGCUGGCAGUACCCCGGCCUGUCACAGUGCAGGGAGGGAAGAGCUCAGAGAAUGGAAUACCCUUAGGAGGGUAUUACAGUACUGUAGCAAAAGUCAUGUCUGAGCCAAGCAGUGGGGUUGGAGGGGUGGGAUGAAGGCAACAGGAAUCAUGGCAGUGGGACUGAGAGUCUUUGGUGAGCCUCUGGUGGCGAGGAGCCCAACUUCAUUGAAAGGUUCUCUGAA
Molecule: non-coding RNA, 959 nt
Organism: Miniopterus natalensis
Lineage: Eukaryota; Metazoa; Chordata; Mammalia; Chiroptera; Miniopteridae
Source: RefSeq, a predicted model, not a curated record